RNAcentral lists this ribosomal RNA (203 nucleotides) under uncultured bacterium. RNAcentral describes it as "partial 16S ribosomal RNA". It matches the Rfam family "Bacterial small subunit ribosomal RNA", at positions 521 to 722 of the family's 1533-position model. The record is from RNAcentral.
UAAGACGAACCGUGCGAACGUUAUUCGGAAUCACUGGGCUUAAAGCGCGUGUAGGCGGGUCGCUGCGUCGGCUGCUGAAAUCCCCCGGCUCAACCGGGGAACGGGCACCGAUACGAGCGGCCUGGAGGGGGGUAGGGGGGUCUGGAACUUCCGGUGGAGCGGUGAAAUGCGUUGAGAUCGGAAGGAACGCCCGUGGCGAAAGC